Molecule: unclassified non-coding RNA, 285 nt
Filed under: Bombus terrestris (buff-tailed bumblebee)
Lineage: Eukaryota; Metazoa; Arthropoda; Insecta; Hymenoptera; Apidae
Description: misc RNA ENSBTSG00005023642.1
Source: RNAcentral
AGGCACUGAAUUCCGUUAAAAACUUCUACGUCUAUAUCGUAUGUGUUAUAUAAAACACUUCAAAAUUUCAUUGAGACUGUAAGAAAACGCGACUAGCAUGAUAAUAUUGGUAAACAUUGAAACCAAUCUGAAAAUGUAUAUAAAAGUUACAAGAUUUUUGGUAUAGCUCCUUUAAAAUUGUCGGGUAAUCCAAGCAAUUUCAAGGUUUAUUUCGUUCGAGAGCAUCUUGAGAUCUGUAUUUAUCGUAUUUUUACAUGUACAAGUUUCCUUUUAUGUUGUUGUUUC